RNAcentral lists this small RNA (303 nucleotides) under uncultured bacterium. RNAcentral's name for it is "bacterial SSU rRNA". It matches the Rfam family "Bacterial small subunit ribosomal RNA", at positions 48 to 338 of the family's 1533-position model. The record is from RNAcentral.
CUUAAGGAUGAAAGUCGAACGGUACAUACUAAGUAGUAAUACGAAGUAUGUUUUCCGGCGGACGGGUGAAUAACGCGUGAGCAAUCUGCCCUUAAGAGGGGGAUAACACCGGGAAACCGGUGCUAAUACCGCGUAAGACCACGGUGUCUCAUGGCACAGGGGUAAAAGGAAAGCAAUUUCCGCUUAUGGAUGAGCUCGCGUCCCAUUAGCUAGUUGGUGAGGUAACGGCUCACCAAGGCUGCGAUGGGUAGCCGACCUGAGAGGGUGAUCGGCCACACUGGAACUGAGAUACGGUCCAGACUC